GAUGAACGCUGGCGGCGUGCCUAAUACAUGCAAGUCGAGCGAACAGACGAGGAGCUUGCUCCUCUGACGUUAGCGGCGGACGGGUGAGUAACACGUGGAUAACCCACCUAUAAGACUGGGAUAACUUCGGGAAACCGGAGCUAAUACCGGAUAAUAUUUUGAACAACAUGGUUCAAUAGUGAAUGACGGUGUUGCUGUCACUUAUAGAUAGCUCGGCGCCGGAUUAGAGAGUUGGUAAGGUAACGGCUUACCAAGGCAACGAUGCGUAGCCGACCUGAGAGCGUUAACGGCCACACUGGAACGGAGACACGGCCCAGCUGCCUACGGGAGGCAGCAGUGGGGAAUCCGCCGCACUGGGGUAAAGCUUGACGGAGCAACGCCGCGUGAGUGAUGAAGGUCUUCGGAUCGUAAAACUCUGUUAUUAGGGAAGAACAAAUGUGUAAGUAACUAUGCACGUCUUGACGGUACCUAAUCAGAAAGCAACGGCUAACUACGUG
This 497-nucleotide ribosomal RNA is filed under the name uncultured bacterium. RNAcentral describes it as "partial 16S ribosomal RNA". It matches the Rfam family "Bacterial small subunit ribosomal RNA", at positions 28 to 507 of the family's 1533-position model. The record is from RNAcentral.